Molecule: long non-coding RNA, 1447 nt
Filed under: Solanum tuberosum (potato)
Lineage: Eukaryota; Viridiplantae; Streptophyta; Magnoliopsida; Solanales; Solanaceae
Description: long non-coding RNA (STUB_LNC000183)
Source: RNAcentral
UCAAUCUCAAGCUUCAAUUCUCCAUUCCAAUCUUCAUCAAGGAUUCUCCAAAGUUGAGGUAUGUGGGUUUGAUUGUGGAAACCUUCCUUUCCACAAGUCCAACCAUUUAUCCUCUAUUUUACUUCAAGUUUAUGGGUCCUUAUGGUUAUUUAUGAACUCUUGAAGUAUGGAAUUACUACUACACACCCUAUUAUGGUCUAUUUUGCAUAUUAUCAUGAAAUGGAAUUAUUAUGUGAUGCUUAUGGUUUUCAUGCUUCCAUGAUCAAAUUAUGAAGGUUGAUAUAUAUAUAUAUGUAUGUUGUUGGUGGGCUGAUUUAUACGUAUUUCGGAAUUGGUUGGACUUAGUACUCUUGAAAGACAUGAUUUUAUCUACAUGAACAAUAGCCCACCAUGUGUUUGAUAAAAUGUCAUUUAUAGAAUUCUUAUGAAAUGGAAGGUCCAAUGUACGUCCUAUGAGUCGGAUGAUUAUAUAAGUAUUGAAAUGAUGAUGAAAUGGAUACAUGUAUAUGAUUUUCUCUAUAUAGUGUGUGAGUCGACCAAGCCUAGCUCGGGGGGUUGUAGGCCCGGGUAACCGUAUCGAGGGGUUGGUACCUUGGUUGCCUAGUACGGGGGGUAGUAGGCCCGUAUAACCGUAUCGAGGGGUUGGUACCUUGGUUGCCUAGUACGGGGGGUAGUAGGCCCGUAUAACCGUAUCGAGGGGUUGGUACCUUGGUUGCCUAGUACGGGGGGUAGUAGGCCCGUAUAACCGUAUCGAGGGGUUGGUACCUUGGUUGCCUAGUACGGGGGGUAGUAGGCCCGUAUAACCGUAUCGAGGGGUUGGUACCUUGGUUGCCUAGUACGGGGGGUAGUAGGCCCGUAUAACCGUAUCGAGGGGUUGGUACCUUGGUUGCCUAGUACGGGGGGUAGUAGGCCCGUAUAACCAUAUCGAGGGGUUUGUACCUUGGUCCCUAGCUCGGGGGGUGGUAGGCCCGGGUAACCACAUUGAGGGGUUUGUACCUCUUUCGCCUCUCCAAGGGGGUGGUAGGCCUUGGAAAUACUAUAUUGAUGGUCUCUCACCACACUUGUGCUACGUCCCACUAAAUAUGAUUUUUAUGUAAGCAUCAUUAUACAUAUCAUCUCAUUAAUAUGCUAUCUAUCGGGUACGAUUAUGCAUUUUGCCUAUGAUGUCCAUCCCUUGUUGUAUUGCAUUGCAUCCCAUAUACUUAGUACAUUCAAAUGUACUAACGCAUACUCUAUGCCUACAUGAUGUCACCAUGUAGGGACCGGAGCACCGCUUGACCAUCCUCCUCCGCGUGGUUAAUACGAUUUCCUAUCAAGGUUAUUGGUGAGUCCUCCAUUCCGGGGACGUUGCUUAUGAUCUUUUGCUAUGUAUAAGACUUUUUCCUUUUUAGUUAUGUUUUGACUAUGAGGGUGAGCCCGGUAGUUUGUCUUGGCCCCCGCUAAGUAC